AAAUUGAAGAGUUUGAUCAUGGCUCAGAUUGAACGCUGGCGGCAGGCCUAACACAUGCAAGUCGAACGGUAACAGGAAGAAGCUUGCUUCUUUGCUGACGAGUGGCGGACGGGUGAGUAAUGUCUGGGAAACUGCCUGAUGGAGGGGGAUAACUACUGGAAACGGUAGCUAAUACCGCAUAACGUCGCAAGACCAAA
RNAcentral lists this ribosomal RNA (197 nucleotides) under Escherichia coli. Its description in RNAcentral is "partial 16S ribosomal RNA". It matches the Rfam family "Bacterial small subunit ribosomal RNA", at positions 1 to 205 of the family's 1533-position model. The record is from RNAcentral. Lineage: Bacteria; Pseudomonadati; Pseudomonadota; Gammaproteobacteria; Enterobacterales; Enterobacteriaceae.